Molecule: ribosomal RNA, 405 nt
Rfam family: Bacterial small subunit ribosomal RNA
UGGGGAAUAUUAGGCAAUGGGGGAAACCCUGACCUAGCAACGCCGCGUGAAGGAUGAAGGUUUUCGGAUUGUAAACUUCUUUUCUAUGGGAAGAAAAAAAUGACGGUACCAUAGGAAUAAGCCACGGCUAACUACGUGCCAGCAGCCGCGGUAAUACGUAGGUGGCAAGCGUUGUCCGGAAUUACUGGGUGUAAAGGGCGAGUAGGCGGGUGUACAAGUCAGAUGUGAAAUACCGAGGCUCAACUUCGGGGCUGCAUUUGAAACUGUAUAUCUUGAGUGAUGGAGAGGCAGGCGGAAUUCCCGGUGUAGCGGUGAAAUGCAUAGAGAUCGGGAGGAACACCAGUGGCGAAGGCGGCCUGCUGGACAUUAACUGACGCUGAGGCGCGAAAGUGUGGGGAGCAAACA